RNAcentral lists this long non-coding RNA (6034 nucleotides) under Homo sapiens (human). RNAcentral describes it as "non-protein coding lnc-ZNF320-1:5". Lineage: Eukaryota; Metazoa; Chordata; Mammalia; Primates; Hominidae. The record is from RNAcentral.
GCUUGUAGAUUCGCCCGGACCAGGAAGCGGAUCGCGUGGACUGGAAGUCACACUGCGGCGACUCUGGGUAUGUGAAGAAGAAACUCAGAAGAGGAAGAGGAAAGCAAAGGAGUCAGGGAUGGCUCUUCCUCAGGGUCUAUUGACAUUCAGGGAUGUGGCCAUAGAAUUCUCUCAGGAGGAGUGGAAAUGCCUGGACCCUGCUCAGAGGACUCUAUACAGAGACGUGAUGCUGGAGAAUUAUAGGAACCUGGUCUCCCUGGAUAUCUCUUCCAAAUGCAUGAUGAAUACAUUGUCAUCAACAGGGCAAGGCAAUACAGAAGUGAUCCACACAGGGACAUUGCAGAGACAAGCAAGUUAUCACAUUGGAGCAUUUUGCUCCCAGGAAAUUGAGAAAGACAUUCAUGACUUUGUGUUUCAGUGGCAAGAAGAUGAAACAAAUGACCAUGAAGCACCCAUGACAGAAAUAAAAAAGUUGACUAGUAGUACAGACCGAUAUGAUCAAAGGCAUGCUGGAAACAAGCCUAUUAAAGGUCAGCUUGAAUCAAGAUUUCAUUUGCAUUUGCGAAGACAUAGGAGAAUUCAUACUGGAGAGAAACCUUACAAAUGUGAAGAAUGUGAGAAAGUUUUCAGUUGCAAAUCACAUCUUGAAAUACAUAGGAUAAUUCAUACUGGAGAGAAACCAUACAAAUGUAAGGUUUGCGACAAGGCUUUUAAGCAUGAUUCACACCUGGCAAAACAUACUAGAAUUCACAGGGGAGACAAACAUUACACAUGUAAUGAAUGUGGCAAGGUUUUUGAUCAAAAAGCAACCCUUGCAUGUCAUCAUAGAAGUCAUACUGGAGAGAAACCUUAUAAGUGUAAUGAGUGUGGCAAGACCUUUAGUCAGACAUCACACCUUGUGUACCAUCAUAGACUGCAUACUGGAGAGAAACCUUACAAAUGUAAUGAGUGUGGCAAGACCUUCGCUCGAAAUUCAGUCCUCGUAAUUCAUAAGGCAGUUCAUACUGCAGAGAAACCCUAUAAGUGUAAUGAAUGUGGCAAGGUUUUUAAGCAACGAGCAACUCUUGCAGGACAUCGUAGAGUUCACACUGGAGAGAAACCUUACAGAUGUGAAGAAUGCGACAAAGUUUUCAGUCGCAAAUCACAUCUUGAAAGACAUAGGAGGAUUCAUACUGGAGAGAAACCAUACAAAUGUAAGGUUUGUGACAAGGCUUUCCGGAGUGAUUCACGUCUUGCAGAACAUCAGAGAGUUCAUACUGGAGAGAGACCUUACACAUGUAAUGAAUGUGGCAAGGUUUUUAGUACAAAAGCGUACCUCGCAUGUCAUCAAAAACUUCAUACUGGAGAGAAACUUUACGAAUGUGAAGAAUGUGACAAAGUUUACAUUCGCAAAUCACACCUUGAAAGACAUAGGAGGAUUCAUACAGGAGAGAAACCUCACAAGUGUGGUGAUUGUGGUAAAGCCUUUAAUUCACCUUCACACCUUAUUAGGCAUCAGAGAAUCCAUACUGGACAGAAAUCUUACAAAUGUCAUCAGUGUGGCAAGGUCUUUAGUCUGAGGUCACUCCUUGCAGAACAUCAGAAAAUUCCUUUUGGAGACAAUUGUUUCAAGUGCAAUGAGUAUAGCAAACCAUCAAGCAUUAAUUGACAUCAGAGUCAAAUCAGCAUUGACCUGAGUUUGAGUUGACUUAACAUUGAUUUCAAGCAUUAAUCGACAUUAAACUGUUUAUGUUAAGAGGAUUGGGCCAGGCGUGGUGUCUCACACCUGUAAUCCCAGCACUUUGAGAGGCCAAGACAGGUAGGUCACUUGAGGUCAUGAAUUUGAGACCAGCCUGGCCAACAGACGGGAGCCACUUUUCCCAGCCUGUAUGUUCUUUUAUUUAUUUAUUUAUUUUUAAGAUGGAAUCUUGCUCUGUCGCCCACGUUGGAGUGCAGUGAUGUGAUCUCGGUUCACUGCAACAUUCACCUCCCAGGUUCAUGCAAUUCUCCUGCCUCAGUCUCCUGAGUAGCUGGGACUACAGGUGCGUGCCACCAUGCCCGGGUAAUUUUUUGUAUUUUUAGUAGAGACUGGGUUUCACCGUGUUAGCUAGGAUGGUCUCGAUCUUCUGUCCUUAAAAUCCACCUGCCUCCACCUGCCAAAGUGCUGAGAUUACAGGCGUGAGCCACCACACCUGGCCUGUUUUUUGUUUCUUUAACAAAAAGUUAUAGAAAUUUCUCUGGGUAUUGUGUUGAAUCUACAUCACAUUCAGUUAUAAUCAUUUAGCAAUAUUAUUCCAUUCAAUAUGGCUUGUAUCUCUUAUUUGCACAUGUUUUUAUCACUUUGAUCAAUGUUUGUAGAUUUGAAGGUAGAAACUUCUCAACUUUUUUCAUUUAUUCCUAAGUAUUUCUUACUUUAAGUUCUUUAGCAAAUGAAAGUGUUUUUUUAAUUUUCUUUUUAAAUUGUUUAUUGUUAAUGUAUGGAAAUUCAACUAAUUUUUGGUGCUGUUAUUCUAUUCUUCAAAUCCACUGCAUAUGUUUUUUAGUUCCAGUUGCAUUUUGGUUGACUCUUUGUGAUUUUCUACACAGAAGAUCAUGUCAUCUACAAAGAAAUAGUUUUACUUCUUUCUUUCUGAUUUGGAUGAGUUUGAUUUCUUUUGCUAUUUCAUUGCUCUAGCUAGGACAGCCAGUAUUGAUUGAAUAGAAGGGGUGAGAGCAUUCUUGCAUCAUGUGAGAUCCUACAGGAAAAGCAUUCCAUUUUCCCUGACUGGUUAUUUCUGCUGUGGUCAUUUCAUGGAUGGUCUUUGUAUUGUUGAGGUAAAUUUCCUUCUCUUUCUAUUUUGUUUAGGAUUUCCAUGAUGACUGGAUGUUGAAUUUUGUGAAAUGCUUUUUCUCCAUGUAUUGAGAUGAUGUGGUUUUCAUCUUUCAUUAUGUUCAAGUGGUAUAUCACAUUGAUUUGCUUGACUAUGUUGAACCAUUUUGCAUCCCAGAAAUAAGUGGCACUUGCAUAUCAACAAUCCUUUUUAUAACCUCUUGAAUACAGUUCGCUAGUACAAGGGGUCUUCAGGAAGUUCAUGGAAAAAUACAUAUUAUGAGAAAAUUGUGCAUGAUAUCACAUUUUUUGCACCAAGAUAAACUGAUACAAAUCCGUUAUAACAUGUCUGAACAGGGUUUGGUUUGAGGCACUCAGAUGGGUAAGACAUGAGUUUGAAAAGAGACUCAAUCAAGGCAAUGUAAAUUCUGCUAAAACUGAAACAAGAAGAAACAUCAAAUUUGCGAUGAGACCAGAUGCUGUGGCUCAGGCCUGUAAUCCCAUAAUUUUCAGAGGCUGAGACAGUUGGGUCACGUGGGCCCCGGUACUCAAGACCAGCCUGGGCAGAAUGGUGAAACCACCUUCUCUACAAAAAAUACAUAAAUUAGCUGGGCAUUGUGGCACAUGUCUGCUGGUUCAGCUUCUGUGGAGUCUGCAGUGGGAGGAUGGCUUGAGCCUAGGAGUUCGAGGCUGCAGGGAGCCAUGAUCAUGCCAUUGUACUCCAGCAUGGGUGACAGAGACAGAUAGUGUAUCGAAAAAUGAAUCUGGUAAAGUUUGGGUAGAGGGACAAUGAAAUCAUUGAUGCUUUAUGAAAAGGUUAUGGGGACGAUUCCCAAAAUAAAUCACCAGUUUGUAAAUGGAAAACUUAUUUUAAGUUGGGACAAGAUGAUGUUGAAAGUGAUGCACAGGACAGGUGUGGUGGCUCACACCUGUAAUCCCAGCACUUUGGGAGGCCGAGGCAAGAGCAUCACGAGGUCAGGAGAUCGAGAAAAUCCUGGCUAACACGGUGAAACCCCAUCUCUACUAAAAAUACAAAAAAUUAGCCAGGCGUGGUUGUGGGCGCCUGUAGUCCCAGCUACUCAGGAGGCUGAGGCAGGAGAAUGGCAUGAACCGAGGAGGUGGAGCUUGCCAUGAGCAGAGAUCAUGCUACUGCACUCCAGCCUGGGUGACAGAGCGAGACUCCAUCUCAAAAAAAAAAAAAAAAAAAAAAAAAAGAAAGUGAUGCACAGAGUGGCAGGCAGACCAUCCACAUAAGUUUUAUAGGUACAACUGUCAAAGACGACACUGGAGAAGAGCCAAGCUGGAUCUAUAAGGAAUUGCAUAUGAGAUGGCACACAUAUUCAUGCUGUCUGAAGAUUCAGUCACGUUACCAUAUCAAGCUGAAAAUGUCACCACUAUCUGGAGAGUUGGACAUGUUUUAUUGAGAAUGUAUUUUUUUUCUCUGGAUCUGUUAUGAACACCUUUGUUGGCUUGGUUCAGUAAUAAAUAUGUGAGACUUUUCAUUUAAAAAAAGUCAAAUGACUUAAUUCUGUAUUUUAAAUUCUGUUUUGUUUGUUUUGUUUUUUUGAGAUGGAGUCUUCUGAAAAUUUUCUCAUCUUCUCUAACCCGGUUCAUGACAGACCCUUGGACUUUACUGUUGUGGAAAAAUCUAUAUAAAACAGUAUCAGUGUGUCAAAGCAUUAUGGCUGUCACAAGCUUGUGAAAGGAAAAUAAAAAUUACUAAGCCAAAGAGAAAAGUCAAUCUGGGAACUGCGUCAGACAAACCUGCCUUCCAUUUUAUUCCUAAACAAGAUAGUUACAAAGAUUUUUUAAAAAGCUACAUAUGCCCCUCCCAAACCGGGAACCUCAAGAUCUCCACCCUAAAAUAGUUCUGUUGAAUUUCACCCUGGCGAUGUAAACUGAGAGCUUAUCUUCACAGAUGUGGGAAAGAGCCCAUCCCUCUGCACACCUGAGUCAAAUGUCUAUCUGAUUGCUUCCCUUGCCCUAUUUAUGUAAAAAUACAGGGUCCCUGAGCCAGCCUAAGGCAUAAGUGACUUAUCCCUCCUCCCUGCUCACAUAUAAAUUGUGUAUUUAGUGAAAGGCUGAUCAAAGAUUCAAAGAAUGUUAUUUGUUAUCUACCUGUGACCCAGAAGGUCCCCAAUUCCAGUUAUUCCACCUUUCCAGACCGGACCAAUGUAUAUAUGUACUGAUUGCUGUCUCGUGUGUCUGUAAAAUGUGUGAAACCAAACUGCAGCCUCAACACCAUGGACACACGUCAUCAGGACCUCCUGAGGUUCGUGUUAAUUGGCCUUAGACUCUCCCUGUCCCCAGACCCAGGACGCAUGUGUUUCCUUUUUCUUCAUUUCUAUUAAAGAUGGGUCUCAUUCUGUUGGCCAGGCAUGAGAGCGGUGACAGGAUCAGCCCUCACUGAAGCUUCAAUCUCCUGGGUUCAAGGGAUCCUCCCACCUCAGCCUCCAAAGUUGCUAGGACCAUAGCCAGGUGCCACCGCACCGGGCAAAUUUUUGUGUUCCUAGUAGAGAUGGGCUUUCACCAUGUUGCCCGAGCUGGUCUUGAAUUCCAGGGCUCAAGCGAUCCAGCCGUAUUGGCCUCCCAAGGUGCUGGGAUUACAGCCAUGAGCCACCAUGACCAACGUGUUUCUUAAUUUAAAAAAAAAAAAAUAGACCAGGUGCUCUGGCUCAUGCCUGUAAUCCCAGCACUUUGGGAGGCCAAGGUGGGCAGAUCACCUGAGAUCAAGUAUUUGAGAACAGCCUGGCUAACAUGGCGAAUCCUCGUUUUGACCAAAAUAUAGAAAUUAGCCUGGUGUGGUGGCGAGUGCCUGUAAUCCCAGCUAUUCAGGAGGGUGAGGCAGAAGAAUGGCUUGAAUUCGGGAGGCGGAGGUUGCAGUGAGCUGAGAUCCUGCAACUGCACUCUGGCUGGGCAAGAGCGAGACUCCAUCUCUAAAAUAAAAUUAAAGUAAUAUAAAAAACUGCUUCUCAUGAAAGCUUUGGUAUAAUCUUACGAGGUAACAUCAUUGUUUUGCAACUACGGUAUGUGUUCAAAAUGUUCUUCUUUGACCCCACAUUUCAUUAGAUAUAUUUUUAAGCCAUUUUAAAAUUGUUUUUCUCUGAAAUUUAUUGUGUUUAGUUUACAUUGAGGACUGCAUGCUUUCUAGUCUGUAUCAUACAUUGGAAACAUUUUCUAGUACCUGAUAAAUGAUUUUAGGUUGUUUCGAUGUGUACUUGAUAAAGAUAUCAAGGAACUUUUUCU